RNAcentral lists this ribosomal RNA (253 nucleotides) under uncultured bacterium. Its description in RNAcentral is "partial 16S ribosomal RNA". It matches the Rfam family "Bacterial small subunit ribosomal RNA", at positions 524 to 776 of the family's 1533-position model. The record is from RNAcentral.
UACGGAGGGGGCCAGGGUUGCACGGAAUUACUGGGCGUAAAGGGCGCGCAGGCGGAACACACAGUCAGACGUGACAGCCCCGGGCUUAACCUGGGAAUAGCGUUUGAUACUUGUGAUCUGGAGUCUCGGAGAGGGUGGUGGAAUUCCAAGUGUAGAGGUGAAAUUCGUAGAUAUUGGGAAGAACACCAGUGGCGAAGGCGGCCACCUGGACGAGUACUGACGCUGAGGCGAGAAAGCGUGGGGAGCAAACAGG